CCUACGGGUGGCAGCAGUGAGGAAUAUUGGUCAAUGGGCGCGAGUCUGAACCAGCCAAGUAGCGUGAAGGAUGACUGCCCUAUGGGUUGUAAACUUCUUUUAUAUAGGAAUAAAGUGAUGCACGUGUGCGUUUUUGUAUGUACCUUAUGAAUAAGGAUCGGCUAACUCCGUGCCAGCAGCCGCGGUAAUACGGAGGAUCCGAGCGUUAUCCGGAUUUAUUGGGUUUAAAGGGAGCGUAGGUGGGUUGUUAAGUCAGUUGUGAAAGUUUGCGGCUCAACCGUAAAAUUGCAGUUGAUACUGGCAGUCUUGAGUACAGUAGAGGUGGGCGGAAGUCGUGGUGUAGCGGUGAAAUGCUUAGAUAUCACGAAGAACUCCGAUUGCGAAGGCAGCUUACUAAACUGCAACUGACAUUGAUGCUCGAAAGUGUGGGUAUCAAACAGGAUUAGAUACCCUUGUAGUC
This 460-nucleotide ribosomal RNA is filed under the name uncultured bacterium. RNAcentral describes it as "partial 16S ribosomal RNA". It matches the Rfam family "Bacterial small subunit ribosomal RNA", at positions 338 to 795 of the family's 1533-position model. The record is from RNAcentral.